UACGGGGGGAGCAAGCGUUGUUCGGAUUUACUGGGCGUAAAGGGCGCGUAGGCGGUCGUGACAAGUCACUUGUGAAAUCUCCGGGCUUAACCCGGAACGGUCAAGUGAUACUGUCGGACUAGAGUACAGAAGGGGCAACUGGAAUUCUCGGUGUAGCGGUGAAAUGCGUAGAUAUCGAGAGGAACACCUGCGGCGAAGGCGGGCUGCUGGGCUGAUACUGACGCUGAGGCGCGAAAGCCAGGGGAGCGAACGGG
This 254-nucleotide ribosomal RNA is filed under the name uncultured bacterium. Its description in RNAcentral is "partial 16S ribosomal RNA". It matches the Rfam family "Bacterial small subunit ribosomal RNA", at positions 524 to 776 of the family's 1533-position model. The record is from RNAcentral.